Molecule: ribosomal RNA, 464 nt
Filed under: uncultured Pelotomaculum sp.
Lineage: Bacteria; Bacillati; Bacillota; Clostridia; Eubacteriales; Desulfotomaculaceae
Description: bacterial SSU rRNA
Rfam family: Bacterial small subunit ribosomal RNA
Source: RNAcentral
ACCCGCACAAGCAGAGGAGCGCAUGGUUUAAUUCGACGGCAAUCGAAGAACCUUUACCAGGGUUUGAAAUGUAUCUGCAUGCCCUAUGAAAUAGGGAGGCCUUCGAGGGUGAUACACAGGUGCUGCAUGGCCGCCGUCAGCUCGUGUCGUGAGAUGUUGGGUUAAGUCCCGCAACGAGCGCAACCCCUACGUUUAGUUGCUAACGCGUGAAGGCGAGCACUCUAGACGAACUGCCGUUGACAAAACGGAGGAAGGUGGGGAUGACGUCAAAUCAUCAUGCCCCUUAUGUUCUGGGCUACACACGUGCUACAAUGGCCGGUACAGACGGACGCAAAGCCGCGAGGUGGAGCAAAUCCUAAAAAGCCGGUCUCAGUUCGGAUUGCAGGCUGCAAUUCGCCUGCAUGAAGUCGGAAUCGCUAGUAAUCGCAGGUCAGCAUACUGCGGUCGAAUACGUUCCGGGCCUU